UAACAUGCAAUGCGUUAUGCAAUGACGAACUAUUCUUUCACCUUUUGCUACAGAAUACCGUGUGCUCGUUGCAAAUGGUGGCAUACCCCUAUUUUUGGAUUCACUCAGAGUGCA
Solanum dulcamara is the source of this 114-nucleotide small nuclear RNA. RefSeq annotates it as U5 spliceosomal RNA. The transcript has a single exon. The record is from RefSeq and is a predicted model, not a curated record. NCBI's taxonomy places the organism in Eukaryota, Viridiplantae, Streptophyta, Magnoliopsida, Solanales, Solanaceae.